AAACCCAUUUCAUAUCAAAUCUCUGGUCCUGUCAUUGUUCAAAAACCUUUGAACGUCCAAAACCAAGCAUUGGAAGUAAUUUGUAGAGAUGGGUACCUGCGUUCGCCUCCAUACUGCAUUACUUUCAUUGUUGAUCUUCCUCAGUUUAGGUUCAAGUAUUGCACGGACUCCAUAUUUUGAAGCAAACCAAGAAGACUAUGUACUGCAAAAUCAGGAGGAACAAAUACCCUACUUUUCAACUUCAAUAUCCAACACUCAACUGGACACAAUCCCCAUUGUGAAUCCAACCACCCCAGGCGGCGGCACAACUCCAACCCAGACCCCGAUUGUGGAUCCAACAUCACCGCCAGCACAAACAAUCCCUACCGGACCGACCAUAACGCCUACAACCCCAACCAUAACGCCCACAACCCCAACCAUAACACCCACAACCCCAACAACCACAGGCGGUGGAAGUUGGUGCAUAGCAAGUUCAAGUGCUUCCCCAACCGCUUUGCAGGUAGCUCUUGACUAUGCUUGCGGAUAUGGGGGCGCGGAUUGCUCGGCAAUUCAAACGGGAGGUAGUUGCUUUGAGCCCAACACUAUGCGAGACCAUGCUUCUUAUGCCUUCAACCAGUACUACCAGAAGAAUCCAGCACCCACAAGCUGCGUGUUUGGAGGAACUGCGCAGCUCACCAGCACAGACCCAAGCAGUGGAAAUUGUCGCUACGCAGCAUCAAGAUCAACGCCGAGUAAAUGGGUUUCGGCGGGUCUUGGAAAGCAAACUCCGAUUCCGAUUGCCGAGUUUAUAGGAAUUAAGAAGAUAUGGCGGUGCCGUUGCUGACGAAGAAGAUCGUUAAGAAGCGGGUUAAGCAGUUCAAAAGGCCCCAGAGUGACCGCAAGAUCUCUGUCAAAACAAACUGGCGUAGACCAAAGGGUAUUGAUUCUCGUGUUCGACGGAAGUUCAAAGGAUGCACUUUGAUGCCAAACAUUGGUUAUGGUACUGACAAGAAGACCCGUCAUUAUCUUCCUAAUGGAUUCAAGAAGUUCGUUGUGCACAACGUGAAGGAGCUUGAACUGUUGAUGAUGCACAAUAGGACUUACUGUGCUGAGAUUGCACAUGAUGUGUCCACAAGAAAGAGGAAGGAGAUUGUGGAGAGAGCUGCCCAGCUCGAUGUAGUUGUCACCAACAAGCUUGCUAGGUUGCGCAGCCAGGAGGAUGAAUGAGCCUAGAUUCUCUUUUUGUUUCAUUAGUGCUGUCUUUUUAAUACCGUUCCAUGAAUUUGACAUCGCCUCAGAAUUGGCUUGCUGAAUUUCUAUUCUGUUGGAUGUCUUUUUAUUCGACUGUGAUUUCUAAUUCCAUUUGUCAUUUUUGGUUAUUCA
Cucurbita maxima (winter squash) is the source of this 1362-nucleotide RNA transcript. It is a transcript of the gene named 60S ribosomal protein L32-1-like, with no coding region annotated. The transcript has 8 exons. The record is from RefSeq and is a predicted model, not a curated record. Lineage: Eukaryota; Viridiplantae; Streptophyta; Magnoliopsida; Cucurbitales; Cucurbitaceae.